Phyllostomus discolor (pale spear-nosed bat) is the source of this 127-nucleotide non-coding RNA. RefSeq annotates it as small Cajal body-specific RNA 4. The transcript has a single exon. The record is from RefSeq and is a predicted model, not a curated record. NCBI's taxonomy places the organism in Eukaryota, Metazoa, Chordata, Mammalia, Chiroptera, Phyllostomidae.
ACUGGAGUUCUAAGAAGCCUGCAUCUGAGGAAGCAAGACUGCUGACACAGUCCUCCUAGAAAAAAGCACUGGAGACAGCAGCCCUCAAGGGAGAAUAUCACAGAGCUGACUGUACUACCCAACAUUC